This 639-nucleotide long non-coding RNA is filed under the name Cyanistes caeruleus (blue tit). RNAcentral's name for it is "lncRNA (ENSCCEG00000016994.1)". The record is from RNAcentral. Lineage: Eukaryota; Metazoa; Chordata; Aves; Passeriformes; Paridae.
AGAUUAAUAAUAUUAAUGUCAAAUAUUAUCUCUUAAAAAUAAGUAACAAGACAACUCUAGUUUUCAGAGUUGUGUAUAAACUUUGCGUAUAAUAUGUGCUUGCCUUUCUUUCCAGACUUUCAGAUAUGUAAUUGCCAGCUUUACUGAAUAACCAAGAAAGAGCUAAAAUUCCUUUCCCAAAAGCACUGAAAAAUAUUCUUAGAAAUGGUUCCUGAGGAAGUAGAGAUGGUGAAGGCUCUUUUAAGUAGGAAGUCAUAUCAAAAUAGAAAAAAACCCCUAGAAGAUAUUGGGGAGUAAAAUCCUCCUGAAGUCUGCUGUCUCGCUCCAGUCAGACAGAAAUCAUAGGACAUCCAUUGACUUUGAACAACUCAAGAGUAAACAGCUAUUACUUGUGCCAAAAUGAGCAAACUAUAUAAAGAUGGACAAAUAUAUCCUGAAGUGUUUUGUCUCUUUACUUCCCUGAACCCUUUAAUCAGAAAGCUUUAGCUUUCCUUUAGCACUGAAGAAAAUCUUACAGCAGUGUGAACUCCUAACCUGUAAGAGGACAUCCACUGAUUGUAUUUUUGUCAGAGUACAAAUUAUGGAAUUGUCUAAAAUGUAUAUAAUUUAUUUCUUCUGUACUAAUAGACACCAUGCCAG